GAGACCACAAAAUGGCUGCCGGCGGCUUCGUCACGUGACCCCUUUGUGCCUUUCGGGCCCCCGAACUCGGCGGGACCCAGGUCGGGCAGGUCCUCACAGCGGAAGACCGGCAGCGGCUUCGAGGCGUCCAGCGCCCGCGCCCGAAACGACAGUUUACUCAUCUCAGGCGCAGCAGAUACCUCUCCGCUCUGGGGAAACGGCCCCGGCCAGCGGGAUCAUGGAGAACCGGAGUUUCGGUCUCCACUCGCCUGCCGCUGCCGGGGACUUGGGGGCGGAGCGCGAAGCCCGCCGUCCGGGCCCUGACACCAGCCGGGAGGGUGGGAGGCUGUGCCGCUCCGCGCCUCGCUCUCUCGCUCUCUUCAAUACGCCAUGGCCAACAUGGCGGACAUUAAAACUCCACUGUGCGCUCUUCAGCCAACCCCAGCCAUUCCCCACACUGCAUCGCGCAGCGGCGCGGGCACGCGCGGGGGGAGCGCGGGCUCGAGCGAGCGAGCGAGCGAGCGAGCGGGCGCCGGCGCGGCGCGGCAUGGAGCGCGCGUCCCGCCAACCCCCGGCCCGCCGGCCGCCGGCCUCGCCCGGCCGCCCGCUCCCGCUCCCGCCCUGCGCGCUGCUCAGGCGAAGGAGCGACGAGCUCGGCGCCCGCGCGGGUCCUGGCGAGGCCGGCGCGUAGAGCGGCCGGGA
Molecule: long non-coding RNA, 681 nt
Filed under: Mus pahari (shrew mouse)
Lineage: Eukaryota; Metazoa; Chordata; Mammalia; Rodentia; Muridae
Description: lncRNA (MGP_PahariEiJ_G0002676.1)
Source: RNAcentral